This 322-nucleotide ribosomal RNA is filed under the name Rhogostoma sp. RNAcentral's name for it is "SSU rRNA". The stretch from base 59 to 322 matches the Rfam family "Eukaryotic small subunit ribosomal RNA", at positions 690 to 955 of the family's 1831-position model. Lineage: Eukaryota; Cercozoa; Thecofilosea; Cryomonadida; Rhogostomidae. The record is from RNAcentral.
GACUUCUGGUUUAAUGCACCUGGCCCGCAGCCGUAAGGCUUGUGAGUGCCGGCGCGCGUUUACCAUCCUUCUAGAAAACGGAUCUUCCCUUAACUGGGCCGGAUUCGGGAUCUAGAUCAUUUACUUUGAAAAAAUUAGAGUGUUUAAAGCAGGCUAUUGCUAUGAAUACAUUAGCAUGGAAUAAUAAUCUAGGACUUCGGUUCUAUUUUGUUGGUUUCUAUGACUGAAGUAAUGAUUGAUAGGGAUAGUUGGGGGUGCUAGUAUUGGCCGGUCAGAGGUGAAAUUCUUGGAUUCGGUCAAGACUAACUUAUGCGAAAGCAUU